RNAcentral lists this ribosomal RNA (253 nucleotides) under uncultured bacterium. Its description in RNAcentral is "partial 16S ribosomal RNA". It matches the Rfam family "Archaeal small subunit ribosomal RNA", at positions 474 to 727 of the family's 1478-position model. The record is from RNAcentral.
UACCAGCACCCCGAGUGGUCGGGACGAUUAUUGGGCCUAAAGCAUCCGUAGCCGGUCCUACAAGUCUUCCGUUAAAUCCACCUGCUUAACAGAUGGGCUGCGGAAGAUACUAUAGGGCUAGGAGGCGGGGGAGGCAAGCGGUACUCAGUGGGUAGGGGUAAAAUCCUCUGAUCCAUUGAAGACCACCAGUGGCGAAGGCGGCUUGCCAGAACGCGCUCGACGGUGAGGGAUGAAAGCUGGGGGAGCAAACCGG